RNAcentral lists this ribosomal RNA (504 nucleotides) under uncultured Glomus. Its description in RNAcentral is "SSU rRNA". It matches the Rfam family "Eukaryotic small subunit ribosomal RNA", at positions 569 to 1077 of the family's 1831-position model. Lineage: Eukaryota; Fungi; Glomeromycota; Glomeromycetes; Glomerales; Glomeraceae. The record is from RNAcentral.
AGCAGCCGCGGUAAUUCCAGCUCCAAUAGCGUAUAUUAAAGUUGUUGCAGUUAGAAAGCUCGUAGUUGAAUUUCGGGAUCAAUAUAUCGGUCAUGCUUAGGUAUGUACUGGUAUUAUUGAUUUCUCCCUUCUGAAGAACCAUGAUGUCAUUAGUUUGGUGUCGUGGGGAAUCAGGACUGUUACUUUGAAAAAUUAGAGUGUUUAAAGCAGGCAUACGCUUGAAUACAUUAGCAUGGAAUAAUGAAAUAGGACGUUUGAUUCUAUUUUGUUGGUUUCUAGGAUUGACGUAAUGAUUAAUAGGGAUAGUUGGGGGCAUUAGUAUUCAAUUGUCAGAGGUGAAAUUCUUGGAUUUAUUGAAGACUAACUACUGCGAAAGCAUUUGCCAAGGAUGUUUUCAUUAAUCAAGAACGAAAGUUAGGGGAUCGAAGACGAUCAGAUACCGUCGUAGUCUUAACCAUAAACUAUGCCGACUAGGGAUCGGAUGAUGUUAAUUUUUAAUGACUC